UACGUAGGGUGCGAGCGUUGUCCGGAAUUAUUGGGCGUAAAGGGCUCGUAGGCGGUUUGUCGCGUCGGGAGUGAAAACUCAGGGCUUAACCCUGAGCCUGCUUCCGAUACGGGCAGACUGGAGGUAUGCAGGGGAGAACGGAAUUCCUGGUGUAGCGGUGGAAUGCGUAGAGAUCCGGAAGAACACCAGUGGCGAAGGCGGCCCGCUGGGCAGUGGCUGACGCUGAGGCGCGACAGCGUGGGGAGCAAACAGG
This 253-nucleotide ribosomal RNA is filed under the name uncultured bacterium. Its description in RNAcentral is "partial 16S ribosomal RNA". It matches the Rfam family "Bacterial small subunit ribosomal RNA", at positions 524 to 776 of the family's 1533-position model. The record is from RNAcentral.